RNAcentral lists this ribosomal RNA (253 nucleotides) under uncultured bacterium. Its description in RNAcentral is "partial 16S ribosomal RNA". It matches the Rfam family "Bacterial small subunit ribosomal RNA", at positions 524 to 776 of the family's 1533-position model. The record is from RNAcentral.
UACGGAGGGUGCAAGCGUUAUCCGGAUUCACUGGGCUUAAAGGGUGCGUAGGAGGGCAGGUAAGUCAGUGGUGAAAUCUCCGAGCUUAACUUGGAAACUGCCGUUGAUACUAUCUGCCUUGAAUAUUGUGGAGGUGAGCGGAAUAUGUCAUGUAGCGGUGAAAUACUUAGAUAUGACAUAGAACACCAAUUGCGAAGGCAGCUCGCUACACAUAUAUUGACUCUGAGGCACGAAAGCGUGGGGAUCAAACAGG